CCUACGGGAGGCAGCAGUGAGGAAUAUUGGUCAAUGGACGCAAGUCUGAACCAGCCAUGCCGCGUGCAGGAAGACGGCUCUAUGAGUUGUAAACUGCUUUUGUACGGGGGUAAACGCAGAUACGUGUAUCUGUCUGAAAGUAUCGCAAGAAUAAGGAUCGGCUAACCCCGUGCCAGCAGCCGGGGUAAUACGGAGGAUGCAAGCGUUAUCCGGAUGUAUUGGGUUUAAAGGGUGCGUAGGCGGUAGGAUAAGUUAGAGGUGAAAUCCCGGGGCUCAACUUCGGAAUUGCCUUGGAUACUGUUCGGCUAGAGAGUAGUAGCGGUAGGCGGAAUGUAUGGUGUAGCGGUGAAAUGCUUAGAGAUCACGCAGAACUCCGAUUGCGAAGGCAGCGUACGGGAGCCGAACUGACGCUGAGGCACGAAAGCGUGGGUAUCGAACAGGAUUAGAUACCCGUGUAGUC
Molecule: ribosomal RNA, 460 nt
Filed under: uncultured bacterium
Lineage: Bacteria
Description: partial 16S ribosomal RNA
Rfam family: Bacterial small subunit ribosomal RNA
Source: RNAcentral